RNAcentral lists this long non-coding RNA (1304 nucleotides) under Sus scrofa (pig). Its description in RNAcentral is "lncRNA (ENSSSCG00015059947.1)". Lineage: Eukaryota; Metazoa; Chordata; Mammalia; Artiodactyla; Suidae. The record is from RNAcentral.
CUCCAAGCAAGAUACUAACUCUGUGAGACUGAUUCAUGUAAGGUGACUUCUUUUUUUUUUAAAUUAUGACCACACCCGCUGAUACGAAAGUUCCCAGGCCAGGGAUGGAAUCUGAACUGCAGCUGCAACCUGCACCACUGCAGUGGUAUUCCCAACCCACUGAGCCACAGCAGGAACUCUGUUUCAUGUAAGGUAACUCUUAGACAGUGUCUUAAACAGUGAUUCUCAACCUGGGUGCAUCUAGGAGCUAUUUGGCAAUGUGGAAACAUUGUUUUGAUUCUGGGGAUGGGAAUUCCCUUCGAGUGGGUAGAGAUCAGAGGGGUAGCUUCUUGUCCUUCCUGCAGCACAUAGACAGCCUCCCACAGAAAAGGGAAAAAAAUGAUGCCUAAAUAUUAAUAGUGCUGAAGUUGAGAAACUCUGCCUUGUAAUAAUAGUUCCAAAUUCAUAAUGGGGACAUAGAAACAAAGGAACAAUUAGCUUCCACUAAGUUCGUCCCCCCCUUUCCCUCCCUUCCUCCCUCCCUGCCCCCCCUCCCCUGCACAGAACACAAACGCUUUCUCAGAUCUGGGAUUUUGCUGGGAAACAUGAGUCCUGGUCUAACUCUCUACAUGCCCCCACUCAACCCCAUCCCGUGAGCAUUGCUUAAAUCCACAAGGCAACUUUUCUCGCUUCAAAGGAGAGAGCCCAUUCUCUCUGCAGUGACAGAGAUUGAAUAGGUGCUUAUCAUCCUAGCACAUGUUGGGAGGUUAAGGUCUCUUUUCUUGUUUUCAGAAGAUGGAAGCCACAAAAAUAUCAUGUAGCAUGAAUAAUGGCAACCAGAUUUCAUCCUGUGCUUUGCUGUAAAAACCAGGCAGCAGGCGUUUGCCUACAUGAAGAGCAGCAGCGGGUCUACCUCCAGGUGGUUUCUUCCUGAGGUUUGUGUUGCCCAAACUCUGGGAACAGUCUCUGCUCUGUUCCUGUGGAAGAUGUCUCUCGCGCCGGCUCCCAACCUCGCCCAUGAUGCCAAGUGCCCGCUGCUUCCUCUCCAGUCCCGCUGUUCCUCAGAUACAGCCUUUGUCUCAUGCUCAGACAAGUGCACUGGACUACUUAUUAGUCACUCGACUACCUUGAGACACAUUCACCGCUCUCCUUCACACCUGGCCUGCCCUGUCCUGUUCCGAACUCACCAGCAAUACAGCGUGCCCGCCCUGCAAAGCCCAAAGGCCUUGUCCCUCGCUGGACAUCUCUGUGAGAGGAUCCAGGACCUAGUGAAGCCAGCCAGACCUCACUUCUCAGAGGGCCCUUUGCUAGCGGAGUCAUCUUGA